AUAACCAUUGGAAACGAUGGCUAAUACCGCAUGAUGCCUACGGGCCAAAGAGGGGGACCUUCGGGCCUCUCGCGUCAGGAUAUGCCUAGGUGGGAUUAGCUAGUUGGUGAGGUAAGGGCUCACCAAGGCGACGAAAUCCCUAAGCUGGUCUGAGAGGAUGAUCAUGGCCAMACUGGAACUGAGACACGGUCCAGACUCCUACGGGAGGCAGGCAGUGGGGAAUAUUGCACAAUGGGCGCAAGCCUGAUGCAGCCAUGCCGCGUGUGUGAAGAAGGCCUUCGGGUUGUAAAGCACUUUCAGUCGUGGAGGAAGGUAGUGUAGUUAAUAGCUGCAUUAUUUGACGUUAGCGACAGAAGAAGCACCGGGCUAAACUCCCGUGCCAGCAGCCGCGGUAAUACGGAGGGUGCGAGCGUUAAUCGGAAUUACUGGGCGUAAAGCGCAUGCAGGUGGUUUGUUAAGUCAGAUGUGAAAGCCCGGGGCUCAACCUCGGAAUUGCAUUUGAAACUGGCAGACUAGAGUACUGUAGAGGGGGGUAGAAUUUCAGGUGUAGCGGUGAAAUGCGUAGAGAUCUGAAGGAAUACCGGUGGCGAAGGCGGCCCCCUGGACAGAUACUGACACUCAGAUGCGAAAGCGUGGGGAGCAAACAGGAUUAGAUACCCUGGUAGUCCACGCCGUAAACGAUGUCUACUUGGAGGUUGUGGCCUUGAGCCGUGGCUUUCGGAGCUAACGCGUUAAGUAGACCGCCUGGGGAGUACGGUCGCAAGAUUAAAACUCAAAUGAAUUGACGGGGGCCCGCACAAGCGGUGGAGCAUGUGGUUUAAUUUCGAUGCAACGCGAAGAACCUUACCUACUCUUGACAUCCAGAGAACUUUCCAGAGAUGGAUUGGUGCCUUUCGGGAACUCUGAGACAGGUGCUGCAUGGCUGUCGUCAGCUCGUGUUGUGAAAUGUUGGGUUAAGUCCCCGCAACGAGCGCAACCCUUAUCCUUGUUUGCCAGGCGAGUAAUGUCGGGAACUCCAGGGAAGAACUGCCGGUGAUAAACCGGAGGAAGGUGGGGACGACGUUCAAGUCAUCAUGGCCCUUACCGAGUUAGGGCCUAACACACGUGCUACAAUGGCGCAUACAGAGGGCGGCCAACUUGCGAAAGUGAGCGAAUCCCAAAAAGUGCGUCGUAGUCCGGAUUGGAGUCUGCAACUCGACUCCAUGAAGUCGGAAUCGCUAGUAAUCGUGGAUCAGAAUGCCACGGUGAAUACGUUCCCGGGCCUUGUACACACCGCCCGUCACACCAUGGGAGUGGGCUGCAAAAGAAGUAGGUAG
Molecule: ribosomal RNA, 1316 nt
Filed under: Vibrio parahaemolyticus
Lineage: Bacteria; Pseudomonadati; Pseudomonadota; Gammaproteobacteria; Vibrionales; Vibrionaceae
Description: bacterial SSU rRNA
Rfam family: Bacterial small subunit ribosomal RNA
Source: RNAcentral